Molecule: long non-coding RNA, 266 nt
Filed under: Capsicum annuum
Lineage: Eukaryota; Viridiplantae; Streptophyta; Magnoliopsida; Solanales; Solanaceae
Description: long non-coding RNA (CANN_LNC012827)
Source: RNAcentral
UAGCUUGCAUUGCACUUCUGAUUGAGCUUGGUUGAUAAUCGUUUGCACCCAACGUAAUUGGUCUUCAGAAAUUUAAGCUGGGUAUCCGUCAGAUUGGUGCAAUUGCUGAGAGAUGUGUGGCAUAUGUAUGGGUGGAUUUUUCUGUAGGGAUCGAAUGAAUGCAUGCCUCCCCUAAGGAGAGAUGUUUGAUGGUCGGAGAAGCUACGCCGGCAGCUGCGAAGCCAUUGUAGUCACCAGUUGUAAUUGGCGAGAAAUGACAGAAUUAU